RNAcentral lists this non-coding RNA (226 nucleotides) under Hymenobacter psychrotolerans. The record is from RNAcentral. Lineage: Bacteria; Pseudomonadati; Bacteroidota; Cytophagia; Cytophagales; Hymenobacteraceae.
UAUCUUUGUGGCUGUAGAGGUGGCCGGACCCCAAGUGCGGGGCGAGGCUGAAAAGGGAAUCCGGUUCAAUUCCGGAGCUGUCCCCGCAACUGUACGCUUCAUGAGUUGGCGCGCCUCAGCUGCCACUGUUUCAGAGAAGGUUUCGCAAGCAGCUUGCGGGCCGGAGAAAUGGGAAGGCGGCGCGCCCGGAGCAAGCCAGGAGACCUGCCUUUGCAAUUCCUAUGUU